Molecule: unclassified non-coding RNA, 32 nt
Filed under: Sorangium cellulosum So ce56
Lineage: Bacteria; Pseudomonadati; Myxococcota; Polyangiales; Polyangiaceae
Description: sce_IRE_160
Source: RNAcentral
UUCCGGCCACGCUUCCUGGAGACGUGCGAGCG